CUGCCUAUGAUGAUGAGACCACUGCGCAAUCUGAGUUCUGGGAACCAGGUGAUGGAGUGUGCUGCAAAUACUGAGGCCA
This is a non-coding RNA of Acomys russatus (golden spiny mouse), 79 nucleotides long. RefSeq annotates it as small Cajal body-specific RNA 18. The record is from RefSeq and is a predicted model, not a curated record. The transcript has a single exon. NCBI's taxonomy places the organism in Eukaryota, Metazoa, Chordata, Mammalia, Rodentia, Muridae.